AGCGAACGUUAGCGGCGGGCCUAACACAUGCAAGUCGAACGCGAAAGGGAUUCGUCCCCAGUAGCGUGGCGUCCGGGUGAGUAACACGUAGGAAAUCUACCCUUGAGCGGGGGAUAACGUCCCGAAAGGGACGCUAAUACCGCAUAAGCCCACGACCACUUUGGUGGAUGGGGGAAAAGCUGGCCACUGUAAACAAGCUAGCACUUGAGGAUGAUCCUGCGGCGCAUCAGCUAGUUGGUGGGGUAAUGGCCCACCAAGGCUAAGACGCGUAGCUGGUCUGAGAGGAUGAUCAGCCACACUGGCACUGAAACACGGGCCAGACUCCUACGGGAGGCAGCAGUGGGGAAUAUUGGACAAUGGGCGCAAGCCUGAUCCAGCCACGCCGCGUGAGUGAUGAAGGCCUUCGGGUUGUAAAGCUCUGUGGGGAGGGACGAAAACGGCACUCAAGAAACGGGGUGUCCUUGACGGUACCUCCUUAGCAAGCACCGGCUAACUCUGUGCCAGCAGCCGCAGUAACAC
This 519-nucleotide ribosomal RNA is filed under the name uncultured bacterium. Its description in RNAcentral is "bacterial SSU rRNA". It matches the Rfam family "Bacterial small subunit ribosomal RNA", at positions 29 to 526 of the family's 1533-position model. The record is from RNAcentral.